AUACGCAGGUGACAAGCGUUAUCCGGAUUUACUGGGCGUAAAGGGCGUGUAGGCGGUCUUGCAAGUCAGAAGUGAAAUUCCUGAGCUCAACUCGGGCGCUGCUUCUGAAACUGCAGGACUUGAGUGCUGGAGGGGAUAGCGGAAUUCCUAGUGGAGCGGUAAAAUGCGCAGAUAUUAGGAAGAACACCGGUGGCGAAGGCGGCUAUCUGGACAGUAACUGACGCUGAGGCGCGAAAGCGUGGGGAGCAAACAGGAUUAGAUACCCGGGUAGUCCACGCCGUAAACGAUGAAUACUAGGUGUAGGGGGUAUCGACUCCCUCUGUGCCGCAGUUAACACAAUAAGUAUUCCGCCUGGGGAGUACGGCCGCAAGGUUGGAACUCAAAGGAAUUGACGGGG
RNAcentral lists this ribosomal RNA (397 nucleotides) under uncultured bacterium. Its description in RNAcentral is "partial 16S ribosomal RNA". It matches the Rfam family "Bacterial small subunit ribosomal RNA", at positions 523 to 918 of the family's 1533-position model. The record is from RNAcentral.